RNAcentral lists this ribosomal RNA (497 nucleotides) under uncultured bacterium. RNAcentral's name for it is "partial 16S ribosomal RNA". It matches the Rfam family "Bacterial small subunit ribosomal RNA", at positions 28 to 507 of the family's 1533-position model. The record is from RNAcentral.
GAUGAACGCUGGCGGCGUGCCUAAUACAUGCAAGUCGAGCGAACGGACGAGAAGCUUGCUUCUCUGAUGUUAGCGGCGGACGGGUGAGUAACACGUGGAUAACCUACCUAUAAGACUGGGAGAACUUCGGGAAACCGGAGCUAAUACCGGAUGAUAUUUUGAACCGCAUGGUUCAAAAGUGAAAGACGGUCUUGCUGUCACUUAUAGAUGGAUCCGCGCUGCAUUAGCUAGUUGGUAAGGUAACGGCUUACCAAGGCAACGAUGCAUAGCCGACCUGAGAGGGUGAUCGGCCACACUGGAACUGAGACACGGUCCAGACUCCUACGGGAGGCAGCAGUAGGGAAUCUUCCGCAAUGGGCGCAAGCCUGACGGAGCAACGCCGCGUGAGUGAUGAAGGUCUUCGGAUCGUAAAACUCUGUUAUUAGGGAAGAACAUAUGUGUAAGUAACUGUGCACAUCUUGACGGUACCUAAUCAGAAAGCCACGGCUAACUACGUG